Mustela lutreola (European mink) is the source of this 518-nucleotide long non-coding RNA. RefSeq lists it as uncharacterized. NCBI's taxonomy places the organism in Eukaryota, Metazoa, Chordata, Mammalia, Carnivora, Mustelidae. The transcript is spliced from 4 exons. The record is from RefSeq and is a predicted model, not a curated record.
AAAUGCAAAUCAAAACCAGGACGCAUCACCUUAUACCUGUCAGAAUGGCUGUUACAAAAAAGAAAUAACAAGUGUUGGCAAGGUUGUGGAGAAAAAGGAAGCCUUGGGGAACCUGCGUGGCUCAUCAAUCUAAUCAACCUGCCAGAUUUUCCUGGUGAUCUUUUGAAAACUGAAGACCAACAUUUGAAACUGCAGUACCAAAAUCCACAAAAUAGCACUAAAGAGCACAGUUCUGGGGAAUAUCCCAGACAACAGGAUGGAUGAAUGCAAAUGAGACCAAUGCAGACAGACUGCAAAGGAACUGAGAGAGCGAGCACAAGCAAAGAGGCAGAAGGAGAGGGAGAAGCAGGCCUCCUGAUGAGCAGGGAGAUGUGCGGCUGGAUCCCAGGACCCUGAGAUCAUGACAUGAGCCCUUCAGAGACAGACGCUUAACUGACUGAGCCACCCAGGCACCCCUACUCUUUGUUUUUUUAGUUUGACUGUUGUAAAUACCUCAUAUAAAGUAGAAUCAUACAGUA